UUGGAGGGCAAGUCUGGUGCCAGCAGCCGCGGUAAUUCCAGCUCCAAUAGCGUAUAUUAAAGUUGUUGCAGUUAAAAAGCUCGUAGUUGAAUUUCGGGAUCAAUGUUUCGGUCAUGCCGUUGGUAUGUACUGAUAUUAUUGAUUUCUCACCUUCUAAAGAACCGUAAUGCCAUUAAUUUGGUGUCACGGGAAAUUAGGACUGUUACCUUGAAAAAAUUAGAGUGUUUAAAGCAGGCUCACGCUUGAAUACAUUAGCAUGGAAUAAUGAAAUAGGACAUCCGAUUCUAUUUUGUUGGUUUCUAGGAUCGAUGUAAUGAUUAAUAGGGAUAGUUGGGGGCAUUAGUAUUCAAUUGUCAGAGGUGAAAUUCUUGGAUUUAUUGAAGACUAACUACUGCGAAAGCAUUUGCCAAGGAUGUUUUCAUUAAUCAAGAACGAAAGUUAGGGGAUCGAAGACGAUCAGAUACCGUCGUAGUCUUAACCAUAAACUAUGCCGACUAGGGAUCGGAUGAUGUUAAUUUUUUAAUGACUCAUUCGGCGCCUUACGGGAAAC
Molecule: ribosomal RNA, 550 nt
Filed under: uncultured Funneliformis
Lineage: Eukaryota; Fungi; Glomeromycota; Glomeromycetes; Glomerales; Glomeraceae
Description: SSU rRNA
Rfam family: Eukaryotic small subunit ribosomal RNA
Source: RNAcentral